AAAAUAAUAAGGUUAAAGUACUUGAAAAUUAAGAAAACUUGCCAUCAAGGAAUGAGUACCAAAUGAUUUUAUUAAUUUGCAAAUGGCUCCUCAUUAGGAGGAUUAAAUACAACAUUUUUGUUAAAGUAAUCUAUGGUGGCGUGAUACGCCACUAGCCAAUCCAUCCCUCAAAUUACAUUGAAAUCUCUCGUGUCUAACCCUAUUAGGUCUACACUCAGUUUUCUAUUUGUUAUCUCCACGGCACAAGCCAUGUAUACAACUUUCCCUAAUAAUGUUUCACCCCCAGCAGUAGACACAAAUAACAUUGAAUCAAGUUUAUCAGGUGAUACAUUAAGUUUGGAUGCAAAAACAUGUGAAACAAAUGAAUACGAUGCACCAGCAUCAAAUAAAACAUGAGCAAUAUGGUUACAGAUAGUGUACAUACCCUGUACCACAUCCGGGUCGGCAUUGGCAUCUACUGUCUGAGGUUGUAAACCCUGCCUUGAAGAGGAGGUCUUCCUUAGUUCUGGUUCUUCGGGCACUUUCUCGCAUAGUACUAGGCACUACAACAAAUGCGACAGGUGUUGUUGAGGCGAUAGCAUGGUCGGUCCCCGUGAUCCCUGCCGCAGUGCUGACAGAUCUUGCCACGUGCUGCCCCAGGAGCCUGAGUGGGAACCUGGACCGCCGGUCUGGACCUCUUAUUUUGUUGGACAGGUGCAGUAGAUGUUGGUCUGCAGGGUGGAGCUGAGGGUCUGUGACUCCUUACUGACUGAGAAAGGGUGUUGAAACUCCUCUCCACGAUCUGCGCCUUUACCAGAACAGCUGAAUAUGUCUUGAGCUCUAGUACUAAAAAGUGCUGCUUGAUCUCUGGGCGGAGGCCCCACUAGAACCUCCUAGCCUUCCUGCCCUCAUCUAUCAUUGUGCUCAGGGGAGUAUCGGCCCAGCUCUAGGAACUUACGAGCAUAUUCCGAUACCGUCAUGUUUCCCUGAACUAGCUGGACAAACUCCAUCUCCUUUAGAUAUCGGAUGUGCUUGGAGAGGUACUCCGGAUGAAAGGCUGCUAAGAACUGCUCCC
RNAcentral lists this long non-coding RNA (1054 nucleotides) under Carica papaya (papaya). RNAcentral's name for it is "long non-coding RNA (CPAP_LNC007146)". Lineage: Eukaryota; Viridiplantae; Streptophyta; Magnoliopsida; Brassicales; Caricaceae. The record is from RNAcentral.